RNAcentral lists this transfer RNA (65 nucleotides) under Trachypithecus auratus (Javan langur). Its description in RNAcentral is "tRNA-Arg". It matches the Rfam family "tRNA". From Rfam's summary of the family: Transfer RNA (tRNA) molecules are approximately 80 nucleotides in length. Their secondary structure includes four short double-helical elements and three loops (D, anti-codon, and T loops). Lineage: Eukaryota; Metazoa; Chordata; Mammalia; Primates; Cercopithecidae. The record is from RNAcentral.
UGGCAAGUAGUUUAAGUAAAAUAAAUGAUUUCGACUCAUUAGAUUAUGAUAAUCAUACUAGCCAA